CCUACGGGAGGCAGCAGUAAGGAAUAUUGGUCAAUGGGCGGAAGCCUGAACCAGCCAUGCCGCGUGCAGGAAGACGGCCCUAUGGGUUGUAAACUGCUUUUGUACCGGAAUAAACCCCCGAACGUGUUCGGGGCUGAAUGUACGGUAAGAAUAAGGAUCGGCUAACUCCGUGCCAGCAGCCGCGGUAAUACGGAGGAUCCGAGCGUUAUCCGGAUUUAUUGGGUUUAAAGGGUGCGUAGGCGGCCUGUUAAGUCAGGGGUGAAAGACGGUAGCUCAACUAUCGCAGUGCCUUUGAUACUGACGGGCUUGAAUGUACUUGAGGUAGGCGGAAUGUGACAAGUAGCGGUGAAAUGCAUAGAUAUGUCACAGAACACCAAUUGCGAAGGCAGCUUACUAAGGUAUGAUUGACGCUGAGGCACGAAAGCGUGGGGAUCAAACAGGAUUAGAUACCCUGGUAGUCCACGCCCUAAACGAUGAAUACUCGAUGUUGGCGAUAUACGGCCAGCGUCUAAGCGAAAGCGUUAAGUAUUCCACCUGGGAGUACGCCCGCAAGGGUGAAACUCAAUGAAUUGACGGCUGAGAGNGCGAGACGACGACGAGGGAGAG
RNAcentral lists this ribosomal RNA (606 nucleotides) under uncultured bacterium. RNAcentral describes it as "bacterial SSU rRNA". It matches the Rfam family "Bacterial small subunit ribosomal RNA", at positions 338 to 946 of the family's 1533-position model. The record is from RNAcentral.